RNAcentral lists this ribosomal RNA (253 nucleotides) under uncultured bacterium. RNAcentral describes it as "partial 16S ribosomal RNA". It matches the Rfam family "Bacterial small subunit ribosomal RNA", at positions 524 to 776 of the family's 1533-position model. The record is from RNAcentral.
UACGUAGGUGGCGAGCGUUGUCCGGAUUUACUGGGCGUAAAGAGCGCGCAGGCGGUCGUUCAAGUCGCGUGUGAAAGCCCCCGGCUCAACUGGGGAGGGUCACGCGAUACUGAUCGACUCGAAGGCAGGAGAGGGAAGUGGAAUUCCCGGUGUAGUGGUGAAAUGCGUAGAUAUCGGGAGGAACACCAGUGGCGAAGGCGAUCACCUGGGGUUGUUCUGACGCUGAGGAGCGAAAGCUAGGGGAGCAAACGGG